Molecule: long non-coding RNA, 1045 nt
Organism: Rhododendron vialii
Lineage: Eukaryota; Viridiplantae; Streptophyta; Magnoliopsida; Ericales; Ericaceae
Exons: 3
Source: RefSeq, a predicted model, not a curated record
GAUUUUGGAUCCAAUAAGCGACGCCGUGUUUUUAUGAAGUUUUGAUCUCCCAUCUUGAAGACCGGAGGUUAGGGGACCAGGACCACGACGUUGUUUUGAUCGCCGGCGGCCGUACUUCAACGCCGAUCAUAUCCGACAAGAACAGGUGAAUCUCUCUCCUUUCCAUUGUGAAUGGGAUGGGACUGAUGAAAUGCAAUUUAACUCUGACCUGAAUCCCGACAGUGGAGCUGAGUUAGAAGGAUGAAAACUGAUCAUGCCAGGAUCAAAGAGAUUGCAAAUGAUCAGGAAGUCUAACACAAAAUACUUUGUGUCGCCUUUCCAUGUAUCUUAUAGCAAUACUACCAAUUUAGUCUGAUCUGAUUCACCAUAGUGCGACUGCAAGGGAAACCGUAUUACAGGUGCAUUCAGAAGCGCCCGGUUCGAGAGAAUUCCUUGUCAAAGAAGUAUUGAGGAUCCAAUUGUGCAGUACAUAGUGAUUGGCAGAAAAUAAUUCAUUUAACCAAAUUUAAUUGACUGUGACACAAGAUUCGGUUGGUUAUUUUGUGCAAAUUGAGGGAUCUGCCUGCCUCUUAUUUUUACCUAUGCUUCAUGGGGAAAUCCUUGCAACCUGAGCUGCUUCUGAAUAUGAGAAUUUUGGGGGUUCGGGUCCUGUACAAAGCACAACAGAUUAUUUGUUCCAGAAGUUUAGAAGAGGUUAGGAAAUGUUUCCUUUGCUGCAAUUCGCCAUUGUUGGGGGAAUAGGUUUGGAAUCGACAAGCGAUGCUGCACCCCUUCUGAAGUUAACCCUGUUAUAUAUGUGGAGCUUGUUAGACAAAAUCUUCAAAUUUUCUUCUCUUGUGUGCAUGUUGAGUUCUAAUUUUGUCCUCGUUGAAAUUGUGUCAGGACCGGCCUUCUUAGGUCCGCAAACUUGCCCCAUGAUUCAUGUAAUUCGCUCAAGUUUUAGUUGCAUACAAUCUUACGAGGAACCAAGUGUAAAUUUCUCCGGUUAUGGUACACGGAGACCUCUUUAACAUCUACAACUACAAAAGUUCCCUGUCCUUUUCAA